GAUGAACGCUGGCGGCGUGCCUAAUACAUGCAAGUCGAGCGAACAGACGAGGAGCUGGCUCCUCUGACGUUAGCGGCGGACGGGUGAGGAACACGUGGAUAACCUACCUAUAAGACUGGGAUAACUUCGGGAAACCGGAGCUAAUACCGGAUAAUAUAUUGAAGCGGAGGGUUGAAAAGUGAAAGAGGGUUUUGCUGGCACUUAUAGAUGGAUCCGCGCCGCAUGAGCUAGUGGGUAAGGUAACGGCUUAGCAAGGCAACGAUGAGUAGCCGACCUGAGAGGGUGAUCGCCCCCUCUGGGACUGAGCCGCGGUCCAGACUCCUACGGGAGGCCGCAGUAGGUACUCUUCCGCGCUGGGGGGAAGCCUGCCGGAGCAGCGCCGCGUGAGUGCUGCAGGUCUUCGGAUCGUAAGACUCUCUUAUUAGUGAAAAACAAAUGUGUAAGUAACUAUGCUCGUCUUGACGGUACCUACUCAGAAAGCCACGGCUAACUACGUG
RNAcentral lists this ribosomal RNA (497 nucleotides) under uncultured bacterium. RNAcentral describes it as "partial 16S ribosomal RNA". It matches the Rfam family "Bacterial small subunit ribosomal RNA", at positions 28 to 507 of the family's 1533-position model. The record is from RNAcentral.